This 629-nucleotide long non-coding RNA is filed under the name Rattus norvegicus (Norway rat). Its description in RNAcentral is "long non-coding RNA NONRATT006992". The record is from RNAcentral. Lineage: Eukaryota; Metazoa; Chordata; Mammalia; Rodentia; Muridae.
CCAACUCAUCACUCAGGUUAUUUAAUUUCUCCAGAUAGGAGGAACAGAUUUUCACGAGAAUAUUUGUGUUUCCUUCCUGAGCCACCAGGUGGCACAUGACACCUGCUUCACAGCUGCUCAUGUUCUGAUUAGGAAACAUUUGUGUACCCAGUUCCAUGAUACAAUUUCCAGUGGCCCUGGUGGUUUCCCUUUUCUGAAUGUAGUUUCCCAUUGAUAUCCAUCGGGGAUUGGUUCUAGGAAUCCCUUCAUAUAAAAAACUCUGUACAUGGUAGAUAGUAUUUGCAGUAGGACCUACAGACAUCUUUCAAUAGACAUUAACAAUAUCUCUACAGUGUUUAUGAAAUCCUAUAUAAUGUGACUGCUAUUGAAAUGGAUUACAGAUGGAAUUUUGGGGGACUAUAUUCAGUGUGAGGUUGGUUGAAUACACAGAUGGCCCUCACAGGUAGAGGGGCUGAGUGUAUUAUAUAUUCUUAUCCAAGGGGCUGGACAGAUGGCUCAGUGGUUAAGACUGCUCUUCCAGAGGUCCUGAGUUCAAUUCCCAGAAACUGCAUAGUCGCUCACAACCAUCUGAAAUGGGAUCUGAUGCCUUCUUCUGGUGUGUCUGGAGACAGCUACAAUGUACUUAUAAA